AUUUUAGCACUAAAUCAUAUCUUUCAUGGCCACUACAAAAUUCUUCCUUCAGUCAGUUUUGCUACUUUGCAUGGUUUUGUUAUCCUUGUUGGCUCUUCAUCAUUGUAUGCCCAUAUUUAUUUCAAUAUUUUAAAUAUAUAUAUGGCUUUGGAUUGCAUAUACAUGGAUUGAUAAUGUAAAAAAUAUAUUACACUAUCAGUAUAUUUGAGUCUAUUGAAACAUGAUUUAUUUUUCAGGUUACUAAUUUCGCUUUUUACAGACGAUAUUAUCAUCUUUCAUGUGAAUGAAAAGUGUAAAAAAAGGGCUAUUGUAUAAAUAGUCGGUCAGAUUUGAUAUUUACUUUUUUUAGCUGGUUUACAUAAAUUAUAUAUUAAUUAUACAUCCGUCAAUUAUUUUUAAUAUAAGAGAUUAGAUAGUCGACGAUUUGGAUUAAUUCUUCAAAAAAGAAGGCAUGUCUGUGUAUAUAUAGAAGUUAAACUGAUGUAUAUCUUCUUAUACUUUUUCUUAUUUUCAUGAAAUGCAGGUGAUGAAGGUACAAGAGUUAAAGCAGAAGUUACAAGUGAUCCAUGCAUCCCAAUUGUGGAUCAAGGCGCACCUCCCAAAUGGUGUUGCACUGUGGAUAAAGCAUGUUAUGUUUCUCCAGAUACAUGUCAUGCUAGUUGUCACUAAUUAAUGAUUAAUUUUCAAGAAAAAUAAUGUUAAUUCAUAUUGCUACUUCAGCUGGG
Molecule: long non-coding RNA, 725 nt
Filed under: Nicotiana benthamiana
Lineage: Eukaryota; Viridiplantae; Streptophyta; Magnoliopsida; Solanales; Solanaceae
Description: long non-coding RNA (NBEN_LNC018683)
Source: RNAcentral